GGGGCUGAACUGGAAUCGACAGGAAAGACCAUUGAGUAGUAAGCAUGUCGGAGCAGGUUGGAUCACUCCGUUAAAAAAUGUCCUUCAACCUUUUUAAAUGGCAAUAACAAAUUCGCCAUGGCAGCCUAAUCAAAUUAGAUUAGAAUGCCUUUGUGCCGCAGCAUCUGACGUCCGAUAGACGAUCUGCCGCACAUCAUCAAAUUUCGGACUGGUCGGUGUAUUGCUCUGCUGCACCGAUGAGACAAAAGAGCUAAGGAAAGGAUUAUAGCCCUCUGUUGCGCUUACCCCUUUCCCUACAACCUAAAGCAACUUAUAAGCAUGUAGAAAGCUGCGCAAUACUUUGUCUGGACCGGGGUUCGACUCCCCGCAGCUCCACUU
RNAcentral lists this transfer-messenger RNA (378 nucleotides) under Saprospiraceae. RNAcentral's name for it is "PWJY01 sp018224445 Standard tmRNA". It matches the Rfam family "transfer-messenger RNA". From Rfam's summary of the family: Bacterial tmRNA, also known as 10Sa RNA or SsrA, is named for its dual tRNA and mRNA-like properties. Its role is to liberate the mRNA from a stalled ribosome. Lineage: Bacteria; Pseudomonadati; Bacteroidota; Saprospiria; Saprospirales. The record is from RNAcentral. RNAcentral also lists the same sequence under 1 other name.